Molecule: transfer RNA, 69 nt
Filed under: Heterocephalus glaber (naked mole-rat)
Lineage: Eukaryota; Metazoa; Chordata; Mammalia; Rodentia; Bathyergidae
Rfam family: tRNA
About the family: Transfer RNA (tRNA) molecules are approximately 80 nucleotides in length. Their secondary structure includes four short double-helical elements and three loops (D, anti-codon, and T loops).
Source: Rfam by way of RNAcentral
GGUGAUGUAGCUCAGUGGCACAGCACCUGCCUGGCAAGCAUGAGGCCUUGAGUUUGAUUUCCAGUACCA